AUUGAACGCUGGCGGCAGGCCUAACACAUGCAAGUCGAAUGGUAACAGGAAACAGCUUGCUGUUUCGCUGACGAGUGGCGGACGGGUGAGUAAUGUCUGGGAAACUGCCUGAUGGAGGGGGAUAACUACUGGAAACGGUAGCUAAUACCGCAUAACGUCGCAAGACCAAAGAGGGGGACCUUCGGGCCUCUUGCCAUCAGAUGUGCCCAGAUGGGAUUAGCUAGUAGGUGGGGUAACGGCUCACCUAGGCGACGAUCCCUAGCUGGUCUGAGAGGAUGACCCGCCACACUGGAACUGAGACACGGUCCAGACUCCUACGGGAGGCAGCAGUGGGGAAUAUUGCGCAAUGGGCGCAAGCCUGAUGCAGCAAUGCCGCGUGUAUGAAGAAGGCCUUCGGGUUGUAAAGUACUUUCAGCGGGGAGGAAGGGAGUAAAGUUAAUACCUUUGCUCAUUGACGUUACCCGCAGAAGAAGCAACGGCUAACUCCGUG
Molecule: ribosomal RNA, 490 nt
Filed under: uncultured bacterium
Lineage: Bacteria
Description: partial 16S ribosomal RNA
Rfam family: Bacterial small subunit ribosomal RNA
Source: RNAcentral